Non-coding RNA from Aegilops tauschii subsp. strangulata, 2139 nucleotides. The record is from RefSeq and is a predicted model, not a curated record. Lineage: Eukaryota; Viridiplantae; Streptophyta; Magnoliopsida; Poales; Poaceae.
GAUCUAUUCCCCACUUCGGCUUUCAUAUCUGCUUAUUUCUGAUUUGAGAUACUCCCCAUUACCCACUUCUGCUAAUCCCUAAUUUCUAUCCAUUCCUGAAUAUACAUAGGUAGCUCAGUAGUCUAGUUUAAGUACUCCCUCCGUCCGAAAAAACUUGUCCCAACCUUGUUCCUCAUGGAUGAAUCUAGCACUAACUAUAUGCUAGAUACAUCCAUUUGAGGGACAAGCUUUUCCGGACGGAGGGAGUAUGAGUCAUUUUAGAAUCAGGGAGAAAAAUUAGAAGUUGUUCGAUUAGAUGUUCUUAACUUGGUUGCAGCAACUAUUAUGAGUGGGGAUUCUAGUUAGUUAAUAUUAUUGAGGCAACCAUGCUGCGAUAAAGUUGAUUGAUUGGUAGAUUUGAAAUCUGGGUGGCUAGGGGCGCUAGGGACCAAGACAGAUGAGGUUGAUUUGGCUUGAUCCUGCCAAAGAAAUUUACUUCUUUUUUGAAAAAUGAAAGCAUGUUUUUAGAAGUUCCCAAAUGCGAGCUUUAUAGCAAAUAAAAGAGGAUCAAGAGAAGCAUAGUAGGAUAAGUAUGUAUGACUCUAGGAUAAUACAGGUUGAAGAGUGAAUAAUUGAUAGUGUAGGAUAAUGAUGAUGCUAUGCUGUCAUAUAGAGGACGGUGGUUGGCUAAAAGAGCUUAUCACCUCAAAAAUUCCUUUUCUUGGAAUAACUUGCUUUAUUAGAAGUCCAUAAACAUCUCUGGCAUCUUCAGUACUACUUACGACAGCUACACAAGUGGUAUUCAUGAUGUAGCACAACCUUUUAGAUAUAUUUCUUGUUGUCCCGGAACCCCGGUUAUAUCAGAAGUGUGUUUGCAGGCUUACAAGAAAUGGAUAUUGAAGACCAUCUAAGAGUCAGGGAAUUUGUUCGAUCCUAAAUUUUUGGGACUCUGAAAUAAACACAGAGAUGGGAAUGGGGAGGCAUACCUGCCUGCCAUAUACAUCAACCCGAAGCUUUUGAGCAUUGUACAGAACAAGUAAUUGACAGGUUUACUUCAUGAUAGUCUUGGAUUUGGUUUGGCCAAAAUGAUCAAGUACUUACUACAUAAUUUCUGAAUUUACCAAUUAUUUUUUGAAUGCAUCAGUUAGACAACGGUGAUACAUCAGAGCGUCUCUUUAAUAGAAACGACUUAAUUUUGGAGGAGGACUACCCCGUUCCCAAAUCCUAGCUCCGCCGUUGAUGAUACCUGAAUUUACUUUAGUAGAUCUUCUCUUGUAAAAUCCAAACUGUUUCCGAGCCUAUAUGUUUUGUUUCAUAUUGUUGUUUAUCAUGCAAUACUUAUCCUGCAGCCAUCUGAUAUGCAAAUUUGAUAAUAGAAGAUGACCAAAUUUGUGUACAGGAAAAUGCAUAUUCUUGGACUGGGUUUUCUUCUCCACUCUAUUGGACCAAGUUACAAAUAGAUCAUACUUACUGGGUUUUAUUCAUUCAGUCAUACAGAUUCGAGCACUAUACUAUUAAAACAGUAUGAUGGAGGGCUCCAGUUUGAUGCACUGUUAAAAUUCAUGUUCAAGUCAUAGGAGGCAGGUGCGUUGCCUGAGGAGUUCGUCGGCGCCGAUGUCGGCGCCUGUGGAAGGCGGCGAUGGCCAACAGUGGCUGGGCGGCGAGGGCACAACAGUGGCUUGGCGGCACCGACGUCUGAUUGUAGUGUGCAUCUAAACGGCGACAUCAAAGAAGACAUCGAGAUUAACUGGGAUGGAACUGGCCACGUAUUGCGCACAAGAGGAUAGUCUGCACCUGCAUUGGCGAGAAGCGCGUCGUCGCGGGCGUCGUCCGCUACGCAUGGCGGCGAUGGCGCAGGACAGGCUGGGUGGCUGCGACGUACGUCCGGGUGGGCAAAGGCUGGUAGAUCGAGCUGAUUCCUGUAAGUUUAGACAUUUAUUGUGAGGCAGACGUGUUAAUUCUCAUUAAUUGUGGCUAAUUUUCUGUAGUUGAUUGGACGCGAACGCAAAGGGUGGAACUGUUUUUUUUCGCGGGAGGUGCAACUGUUUGAUCGAUGGCAGAGUUUCGUCCGCUAAUGUAAAUCGCUAAACGUACACAGGGGAGGUCUGACUUUUAUGUGGAAGGUUAGAUGCCUGAUUCUGGGGAUGGUAAUUUGUCUUA